UACGUAGGUGGCAAGCGUUGUCCGGAUUUAUUGGGCGUAAAGCGCGCGCAGGCGGUCUUUUAAGUCUGAUGUGAAAUCUUGCGGCUCAACCGCAAGCGGUCAUUGGAAACUGGGGGACUUGAGUACAGAAGAGGAAAGCGGAAUUCCACGUGUAGCGGUGAAAUGCGUAGAGAUGUGGAGGAACACCAGUGGCGAAGGCGGCUUUCUGGUCUGUAACUGACGCUGAGGCGCGAAAGCGUGGGGAGCAAACAGG
This 253-nucleotide ribosomal RNA is filed under the name uncultured bacterium. RNAcentral's name for it is "partial 16S ribosomal RNA". It matches the Rfam family "Bacterial small subunit ribosomal RNA", at positions 524 to 776 of the family's 1533-position model. The record is from RNAcentral.